GGGGACGAGUGGUUCGACAGGGAAGGAGGUUGCAGGAUAGCAAGCCGAGGCGCCACCGGCCCUCGUAAAAAGGUGGCAAAAAAGUAACUGGCGAAAAAGCAUACGCUCUGGCUGCCUAGAUAGGCAGCCACGUCCCUCCUCUCCUCUCCUCGAUGGGCGAGGAAGGGGCGACGUUUAGUCGAGGUGCUGCAGCCCUGACGCCGAUGAGGGUUGCUUAAGACGUAUCGGAUGGGCCCCGGGGGGCUGGGUUGGCUUAGGACCCCAGGGCGAGAUACAAAGGCCAACUAAGCUUGUAGCAGAUCCUGCGCUGAUUUCUUUUGGACGGGGAGUUCGACUCUCCCCCGUCUCCACCA
This 353-nucleotide transfer-messenger RNA is filed under the name Chloroflexota bacterium. It matches the Rfam family "transfer-messenger RNA". From Rfam's summary of the family: Bacterial tmRNA, also known as 10Sa RNA or SsrA, is named for its dual tRNA and mRNA-like properties. Its role is to liberate the mRNA from a stalled ribosome. To accomplish this part of the tmRNA is used as a reading frame that ends in a translation stop signal. The record is from RNAcentral. Lineage: Bacteria; Bacillati; Chloroflexota.